CUCAGGAUGAACGCUAGCUACAGGCUUAACACAUGCAAGUCGCGGGGCAGCAUAUAGAUAGCUUGCUAUUAUGAUGGCGACCGGCGCACGGGUGAGUAACGCGUAUCCAACCUUCCCCAUAGUAGGGUAUAGCCCGGCGAAAGUCGGAUUAAUCCCCUAUGUUGUUUGAAGCGGACAUCUAAUUCAAACCAAAGAUUCAUCGCUAUGGGAUGGGGAUGCGUCUGAUUAGGUUGCAGGCGGGGUAACGGCCCACCUGGCCGACGAUCAGUAGGGGUUCUGAGAGGAAGGUCCCCCACACUGGUACUGAGACACGGACCAGACUCCUACGGGAGGCAGCAGUGAGGAAUAUUGGUCAAUGGGCGCGAGCCUGAACCAGCCAAGUAGCGUGCCAGGAUGACGGCCCUACGGGUUGUAAACUGCUUUUAUGCGGGGAUAAAGUGCGGCACGUGUGCCGUUUUGCAGGUACCGCAUGAAUAAGGACCGGCUAAUUCCGUGCCAGCCGCGGC
Molecule: ribosomal RNA, 506 nt
Filed under: uncultured bacterium
Lineage: Bacteria
Description: bacterial SSU rRNA
Rfam family: Bacterial small subunit ribosomal RNA
Source: RNAcentral